This 508-nucleotide ribosomal RNA is filed under the name uncultured bacterium. RNAcentral's name for it is "bacterial SSU rRNA". It matches the Rfam family "Bacterial small subunit ribosomal RNA", at positions 15 to 518 of the family's 1533-position model. The record is from RNAcentral.
GAUUAUGGCUCAGGAUGAACGCUGGCGGCGUGCCUAACACAUGCAAGUCGAACGGGUCUAUUGUUUGGAGGCUUCGGCCAAAGAGGCUUAGAUUAGUGGCGGACGGGUGAGUAACGCGUGGAGAACCUGCCCUGUACGUGGGGGAUAACAGUGAAGAAAUCACUGCUAAUACCGCAUAAGCGCGACGGGAGCGCAUGCUCCUGUGUAGAAAAACUCCGGUGGUACAGGAUGGCUCCGCGUUGGAUUAGCCAGUUGGCGGGUAACGGCCCAACCAAAGCGACGAUCCAUAGCCGGCCUGAGAGGGUGAACGGCCACAUUGGGACUGAGACACCGGCCCAGACUCCGUACGGGAGGCAGCAGGUGGGGAAUAUUGCACAAUGGGGGGAACCCUGAUGCAGCCGACGCCGCGUGAAGGAUGAAGUAUCUCGGUAUGUAAACUUCUAUCAGCAGGGAAGAUGAUGACGGUACCUGACUAAGAAGCCCCGGCUAACUACGUGCCAGCCGCUGC